RNAcentral lists this long non-coding RNA (358 nucleotides) under Mytilus galloprovincialis (Mediterranean mussel). Lineage: Eukaryota; Metazoa; Mollusca; Bivalvia; Mytilida; Mytilidae. The record is from RNAcentral.
AAUAUUUUUUUUUUAUCAUAUACUUAGACUAAAUAACAUAUGAAUUUUACCGUAUGAUAAUAGCAUUAAAUUAACGUAUAUUUCAUAUUUUUUCCAAUUAGUGCUUAGCGGGCUGAUAUGAAAAGUUUAUCACAUGCUUCGAUUGUUAUCACAUGCCUUUCCGUAACGUUAUCACAUGGCAUUCCGGUGAUACUCGGCAAAUUCCGGAAAAUACACCUCAAUACUACGUUUGAAAAACAUUACAAAGUAGUGUACAAAACAAUUAUUUGGAUACUGGAAAAUAUAUUGUGUAAAAUAAUAUAAAAAAAAAAAAAAAAAAAAAAUUAUUUAAUAAAUGCAUUUUUUAAAAGUUUCAAAC